Molecule: ribosomal RNA, 553 nt
Filed under: uncultured bacterium
Lineage: Bacteria
Description: partial 16S ribosomal RNA
Rfam family: Bacterial small subunit ribosomal RNA
Source: RNAcentral
UGGGGAAUUUUGGACAAUGGGCGAAAGCCUGAUCCGGCAAUGCCGCGUGUGUGAAGAAGGCCUUCGGGUUGUAAAACACUUUUGUCCGGAAAGAAAUCCUUGGCUCUAAUACAGUCGGGGGAUGACGGUACCGGAAGAAUAAGCACCGGCUAACUACGUGCCAGCAGCCGCGGUAAUACGUAGGGUGCAAGCGUUAAUCGGAAUUACUGGGCGUAAAGCGUGCGCAGGCGGUUUGCUAAGACCGAUGUGAAAUCCCCGGGCUCAACCUGGGAACUGCAUUGGUGACUGGCAGGCUAGAGUAUGGCAGAGGGGGGUAGAAUUCCACGUGUAGCAGUGAAAUGCGUAGAGAUGUGGAGGAAUACCGAUGGCGAAGGCAGCCCCCUGGGCCAAUACUGACGCUCAUGCACGAAAAGCGUGGGGAGCAAACAGGAUUAGAUACCCUGGUAGUCCACGCCCUAAACGAUGUCAACUAGUUGUUGGGGAUUCAUUUCCUUAGUAACGUAGCUAACGCGUGAAGUUGACCGCCUGGGGAGUACGGUCGCAAGAUUAAAAC